UAGGGAAUAUUGGUAAUGUGCGAAAGCGCGAACCAGCAACGCCGCGUGCACGAUGAAGGCCUUCGGGUUGUAAAGUGCUUUUAGAGGGGAUGAGGAAGGACAGUACUUUCUGAAUAAGCCUCGGCUAACUACGUGCCAGCAGCCGCGGUAAAACGUAGGAGGCUAGCGUUAUCCGGAUUUACUGGGCGUAAAGCGCGUGCAGGUGGUUUCGUAAGUUGGAUGUGAAAGCUCCUGGCUUAACUGGGAGAGGUCGUUCAAAACUGCGAGGCUUGAGAGUGGUAGAGGGAGGUGGAAUUCCGGGUGUAGUGGUGAAAUGCGUAGAUAUCCGGAGGAACACCAGUGGCGAAAGCGGCCUCCUGGACCAUUUCUGACACUCAGACGCGAAAGCUAAGGUAGCAAACG
Molecule: ribosomal RNA, 402 nt
Filed under: uncultured bacterium
Lineage: Bacteria
Description: bacterial SSU rRNA
Rfam family: Bacterial small subunit ribosomal RNA
Source: RNAcentral